RNAcentral lists this ribosomal RNA (509 nucleotides) under uncultured bacterium. RNAcentral's name for it is "partial 16S ribosomal RNA". It matches the Rfam family "Bacterial small subunit ribosomal RNA", at positions 355 to 855 of the family's 1533-position model. The record is from RNAcentral.
UGGGGAAUUUUGGACAAUGGGCGCAAGCCUGAUCCAGCAAUGCCGCGUGCAGGAUGAAGGCCUUCGGGUUGUAAACUGCUUUUGUACGGAACGAAAAGCCUCUCUCUAAUACAGGGGGGUGAUGACGGUACCGUAAGAAUAAGCACCGGCUAACUACGUGCCAGCAGCCGCGGUAAUACGUAGGGUGCAAGCGUUAAUCGGAAUUACUGGGCGUAAAGCGUGCGCAGGCGGUUUUGUAAGACAGUGGUGAAAUCCCCGGGCUCAACCUGGGAACUCCAUUGUGACCGCAAGGCUGGAGUGCGGCAGAGGGGGAUGGAAUUCCGCGUGUAGCAGUGAAAUGCGUAGAUAUGCGGAGGAACACCGAUGGCGAAGGCAAUCCCCUGGGCCUGCACUGACGCUCAUGCACGAAAGCGUGGGGAGCAAAACAGGAUUAGAUACCCCUGGUAGUCCACGCCCUAAAACGAUGUCAACUGGUUGUUGGGGAUUUAUUUCUUCAGUAACGAAGCUAA